GCCUUAAUCUUAGCUUUAUUCCCCAUUUACCUAAUUAUUUGAACCUUUUUAAGCUUAGUAUUUUUAGAAAAGCAAGCCUAAAGCUAUAGACAAAGUACCUUGAGGGAAAGUUGAAAAAAUAUGAAAAUUAAAGCAUAAAAUAGUAGAGAUCAAUCCUCUUACCUCUUGCAUCAUAGUUUAACUACCCAAAACAGACUAUUGGAACUUUCUGAUCCCCGAAAUUAAAUGAGCUACUCAAGAAUAAUACAAGAAUCAACUUAUUUCUGUAGCAAUAGAAUAAGAAAAUUCUCGAGUAGGGGUGAAAUGCCUAUCGAAUUUAAUAAUAUCUGGUUACUUGAAAGAAGAAUCUAAUUCCGCUUUUAUAUCAUUAUCACUUAUUGAAUAAUAAUUAAUUUUGUAUAAAGAGUCAGUCAUAAAAGGAACAGCCUUUAUGACUCAAGGAAACAACCUUAGGAGAAGGAAAAAUUUACCACCUUUUAGAGUAAAAAUUGGCCUAAAAGCAGCCACUAUAGAAAGCGUUACAGCCCAUACUCACUUACUGUAAAAAUUAUAACUUUUUAAUAACCCCUCUCAAUUAUAUCAAGUAAUAUUAUACCUCUAUAAUAGAUAAAAUGUUAAAAUUAGUAAUAAGGAGAUUGUUCUCCUCUUUUUAAUAUUAGUGUAAACCGAAACGAACCCUCGUCGGUGCCCAACGACUCUUAAUUUAACAGAAUAAAAGGCUUAAAGUACUCACUCAAGAAAUACACCUUUCAAAACAUCGUUAACCCAACACAGGAAUAUUUUAAAGAAAGAUAAAAAGAAUUAGAAGGAACUCGGCAAACUAUGGCUUCGCCUGUUUACCAAAAACAUCGCUUAUUGUUAUAAAAAUAUAAUAAGUCCUACCUGCCCAGUGAUUUUUUCAACGGCCAUCUUUGAUGAUAACGUAGCAUAAUCAAUUGUCUAUUAAUUUUAGACUAGAAUGAAUGGAUUAACGAAAGCCGAACUGUCUCCUAUUUCCUAUCAAUGAAAUUAACCUCUCUGUCCAAAGGCAGAGAUAAGCCUAUAAGACGAAAAGACCCUAAAAGCUUCAAAUAUUAGAUUACCUAGCUUAAACAACAACUAAAGAAAAGUUUUAAUUCCUAAAAUUUGGUUGGGGCAACCAUUGAUAUUAAAGAAUCAUCAAUAAUUUAACUAAUAACUUGCAUAAUAUCAGAGUUACAUCUCAAUUAAGUAAGAAACUUAUAAAAAUGACCCAGAAAACUGAUCAAUGAACAAGUUACUUUAGGGAUAACAGCGCUAUUUCUUUUUAAAGUCCCCAUCGACAAAGAAGCUUACGACCUCGAUGUUGGAUUAAGAUAUCCAAGUGGUGCAAAAGCUACUAACGGUUCGUUUGUUCAACGAGUAAUAUCUUACAUGAUCUGAGUUCAGACCGGAGUAAUCCAGGUCAGCUUCUAUCUAUAACUAAUUUUAUUUAGUACGAAAGGAAAAAUAAAAUAUAGCCUAUUAAAAAUUAACGCUAUUUAAAUUAAUUUAAAACAUUUACAUUUUCAAGAGAAAAUAACUU
RNAcentral lists this ribosomal RNA (1543 nucleotides) under Myxine glutinosa (Atlantic hagfish). Its description in RNAcentral is "16S ribosomal RNA". The stretch from base 725 to 1543 matches the Rfam family "Archaeal large subunit ribosomal RNA", at positions 1424 to 2888 of the family's 2987-position model. Lineage: Eukaryota; Metazoa; Chordata; Myxini; Myxiniformes; Myxinidae. The record is from RNAcentral.